GGUCAGACGCUGCUUCUGGCUGCCCGCUUAUGUGAUCUGGGAGCCCGGGCUGACCAGCUGCUGAUGCCCAGCAGGGCUCCAGAAUAAACAGCCACAUUUCUCUCCAGAUCAUCCCAUCCUCCCAGGGGACAGGGAAGGAGAAUGGCUGCAGAGCAGGUGACCUUUCAGGAGAUGGCUGUGUAUUUUACUGAGCAUCCGUGAGCUCUGCAAGACCUGGCUUAGCAACACCUGUACAGGAACGCCACACAGGAGAAUUGUUAUACCAUGACCUCACUGCGUACGGAUUCCUGUCACCUUGAGUAUUGGAAGUUGGGAGAGACGUUUAGCUUCUGCUUGGGCAUCUUCACUGGUCCCCCAUAUUUCAGCAAGAGUUGUGGCAGCAGCAACAGCAUCUCCUCCAGCAGCAACAGCAGCUUCAGCAGUGGUGGAGGAAAUAGGUCAAGGAUGAGGAAGAAGAGCACCCAGCAACUGCUUUUACAGGAGCUGUUUCUGGAGCAGCUCCUCACUAUACAACUCCAUUUCUGGACUUGGGUAACCAUCAUCAGUUGGUGGAAACGGGUCAUCCCAGGUCUGCAGAAUGAUCAGUAGUGGUGAGAGAAUUUCAGGAUGGCAAAGACACCGUUUUCGAGAUCUGUGCUGAACUAGCCCUAGAGCUGCAGUGUACCGACAUGUAGUUCCCUGUCCCUCGGGAGAAGUCGAUCACCAUUGCCACCUGGAAGUUGGCCACCCCUGAAUAUUACUGGUCCAUGGCCAACCAGUUCAGCAUAGAGAGAUUGACUGUAUUGUCCAGGGGCUGAAGAACAUGGCUGGGUUGUGGUUUAGAGCACUGCAUUAUCUGCUGCCUGUAGCAAUAAGAAAAAUGUACAUUUAUCACACUCAUAAUGUGUAUUGAUGAUCACAUACCUACAAUGUAUUGAUUAUCACAGGUUCUUUCUCAAAAAUUUACUACAGAGACGUUUCUCU
Long non-coding RNA from Emys orbicularis (European pond turtle), 963 nucleotides. RefSeq lists it as uncharacterized. The record is from RefSeq and is a predicted model, not a curated record. The transcript has 3 exons. NCBI's taxonomy places the organism in Eukaryota, Metazoa, Chordata, Testudines, Emydidae.